This 460-nucleotide ribosomal RNA is filed under the name uncultured bacterium. RNAcentral's name for it is "partial 16S ribosomal RNA". It matches the Rfam family "Bacterial small subunit ribosomal RNA", at positions 338 to 795 of the family's 1533-position model. The record is from RNAcentral.
ACUACGGGAGGCAGCAGUGAGGAAUAUUGGUCAAUGGGCGCGAGCCUGAACCAGCCAAGUAGCGUGAAGGAUGACUGCCCUACGGGUUGUAAACUUCUUUUAUAAAGGAAUAAAGUGAGGCACGUGUGCCUUUUUGUAUGGACUUUAUGAAUAAGGAUCGGCUAACUCCGUGCCAGCAGCCGCGGUAAAACGGAGGAUCCGAGCGUUAUCCGGAUUUAUUGGGGUUAAAGGGAGCGUAGAUGGGUUGUUAAGUCAGUUGUGAAAGUUUGCGGCUCAACCGUAAAAUUGCAAUUGAUACUGGCAGUCUUGAGUACAGUUGAGGUAGGCGGAAUUCGUGGUGUAGCGGUGAUAUGCUUAGAUAUCACGAAGAACUCCGAUUGCGAAGGCAGCUUACUAAACUGCCACUGACAUUGAUGCUCGAAAGUGUGGGUAUCAAACAGGAUUAGAUACCCCUGUCGUC